UACAGCCAUUGAAACACCAGCUCUUUUCCUAUCACCAAAGUUAAGUAAAGCCAAGCCUAGUCAGUACUUAGAUGGGUGACCACUUGGGAAUACCAGGUGUUGUAA
Non-coding RNA from Acanthosepion pharaonis, 105 nucleotides. The record is from the annotation of a GenBank genome assembly. Lineage: Eukaryota; Metazoa; Mollusca; Cephalopoda; Sepiida; Sepiidae.